UACGUAGGGUGCAAGCGUUAAUCGGAAUUACUGGGCGUAAAGCGUGCGCAGGCGGUUUUGUAAGACAGAGGUGAAAUCCCCGGGCUCAACCUGGGAACUGCCUUUGUGACUGCAAGGCUUGAGUGCGGCAGAGGGGGAUGGAAUUCCGCGUGUAGCAGUGAAAUGCGUAGAUAUGCGGAGGAACACCGAUGGCGAAGGCAAUCCCCUGGGCCUGCACUGACGCUGAGACGCGAAAGCGUGGGGAGCAAACAGG
RNAcentral lists this ribosomal RNA (253 nucleotides) under uncultured bacterium. RNAcentral's name for it is "partial 16S ribosomal RNA". It matches the Rfam family "Bacterial small subunit ribosomal RNA", at positions 524 to 776 of the family's 1533-position model. The record is from RNAcentral.